Myodes glareolus (Bank vole) is the source of this 1409-nucleotide non-coding RNA. The record is from RefSeq and is a predicted model, not a curated record. NCBI's taxonomy places the organism in Eukaryota, Metazoa, Chordata, Mammalia, Rodentia, Cricetidae.
UGACGCAGGGAAGAGGAGGUAAGGCUGAGGAAUAGUAUAUAAACUGAGGCAAAAAGACCUCACAAGACAUUCUCAAGAUGAUCUGCUAGAGACUCUGUCGGAGAGGCGCCAGAAAAACUCUACAGCAUCGAGAAUCAAUCAAUCAAUCAACUAGACAUUGGACCAGAGAUCUUCCAAGAGCAAGAGAACAAGCUCUUGCCUGCAGAUCAAGACUGGCUGAUCCAGAGGUCUACGUCGAGAGCCAUGAACCAUCAUCAGAUGAAGAAUGAAGAAAAUGGAGACAGUGGGGCACCUCUGAAUUCCCAAUGUAUAAACUGCACAUGGGAGGUGACAGUGGUUGACUCUCAAAAAUAAAUCCAGGAAAGACAGGUGUAUUUUUAAGAAAUCGGGGCGGAAGAGAUGGCCUAGUGGUCAACAAUUCUUCCAUCUUUUGCAAAGGACUCAGGUACUGUCCCCAACACCCUGCACUGGUGGUCCACAACCCUCUGUAACUCCAGUUCUAGAUAGCCAAUACCUUCUGGCCUCUAUAGGCCACCUGGGCUCAUACAGUCAUACUCACAGACAGAAACACACACAUACACAUAGCCACAUAAAUUUAAUCUUCAAAGCAAUAAAACAAUAUUCUAGUUCAUCUGCUUCUCUUUUUAUCCCAUCUUGUCUGACUUGAGAUUUGAUGACUCCCCUUGCACACGCCAUCUUCCUUUUGGAGACGUCAUGAGACUGUGGCUCUCUGAGACACACCUUCACAAUGUUAUCUGCAGGAAUCAGCUCGACUGCCAGAGACAUCCUUGGAAUGGACCUUCAAUUUCUGCCCUCAGACAUCAGAUGGGGACAGACAACACAGUUGCUGCCGGCUGUGGCCUCCCUGGGACAGACUCCCAGGACAAGGCUUUCUAUAUCUUAUCAAGGAAACUAGGUUUGACCGUAGGCAAACAUCGAGCAGACUCAAUGACGUGGGAGUAGUUGAAAACAUUUCAGCUCAGUGCUUACAGGUCAUUCCAAGGGCUGUAUCUACUGCCAUUCCUCCAGCCAGGAGCCUAGCAUGAUGGCCUGGCUUCAUUUGACCUACACCAUGGUUGUGUUCUAAACACAGUUCUGCUAAAGAGCAGACAGAAUGAAUGGAACUGAUAUAUUAAUAGGUACACAGGUCUCUUUGUAGAGAUUUGGAAGACAAUCACCUUUUAGAGAAAAGCAACCAGACAAGCUUAAUUCAAAUUGUUUAUGAAGGACAGAAUUUAAACAAAGCAAGAGGUGGGGGAACCUUUUCAGAUUCUUCCAUUCAGAAUCUCCUGAAACAAAUGGGAAUAUAUUAGAAGAUUGAGGGUCACUAUUGGAAAUCCUAGGAAAGUAGAAUUCUUGCAUGUGUUCCUACCAUUCCUUAAUGUUAAUUUUAGUGUGAAGUGUAUGUU